Anguilla rostrata (American eel) is the source of this 497-nucleotide long non-coding RNA. RefSeq lists it as uncharacterized. Lineage: Eukaryota; Metazoa; Chordata; Actinopteri; Anguilliformes; Anguillidae. The transcript is spliced from 2 exons. The record is from RefSeq and is a predicted model, not a curated record.
GGUCUCAGGGGCUUGACUGCUCCCAGCUGCACCUGAAACACAGAGACCAGGAUAAAACGGGGGAUUGCCAAAAGACUAUUUUCUAUCAGGGUGUUUCUUUUGGCUCAUAGAGGAUGGAGGGAUACAGGACAUCCCCUACCAAGCAUGCUGAGCUGAAUGGCCCGGCGCAAAUCGGCUUCUUCGUCCUCCACCUCCAUGUCUUGUCGACUCAUGGCCAGGGCCUUCCGUAAUUCCUCCUCAUCCUCGUCAAUCACGCCCUCUUCCAGACCCUGCCCCACCUCCAACAUCUGCUGCAUUGAUGUGCUGUUACACCAAUCAUAAUAAGGGCAGUUAUACCUGUGCUUACUGAAUUCCAUAGCUUUUCAAGCCCAUCCGUACAAAGAAAAAACACUAUUUUGUAGGUUAUUCUGUUUGUCACACAGGAUAUGUAUACAGAGACAGCGGAGAUGCACUAGCCUUUAUGCGAAUGCAAAAUAAAAAUGUGCAUCUUGAAAUUC